ACAGAACAGAGUCUGUAAAGCAACUUUUGUCCCAUCUGUCCCGUCCAGACCUUCCACACAGGAUCCCUCAAAGUCAAAGAUUUCCCAGAUCAGCUCCUGCAGGAUGCACAGGUAUUUUGGACAAGUUCUCUCUACUGUUGUCACUACACUACUGUAUUAUGAGCAUUGCUAGUUAAUUGUUUUUUUUUU
Alosa alosa (allis shad) is the source of this 189-nucleotide long non-coding RNA. RefSeq lists it as uncharacterized. NCBI's taxonomy places the organism in Eukaryota, Metazoa, Chordata, Actinopteri, Clupeiformes, Clupeidae. The record is from RefSeq and is a predicted model, not a curated record. The transcript has 3 exons.